Callorhinus ursinus (northern fur seal) is the source of this 5808-nucleotide non-coding RNA. Lineage: Eukaryota; Metazoa; Chordata; Mammalia; Carnivora; Otariidae. The record is from RefSeq and is a predicted model, not a curated record.
GCGUGCUCGCUCGCGCCAGGCGAGUCUCCGCGUCUCCCUCGCGAACUCGGUGAAAGGAAUUGGCGCCGUUCGACACCAGGCGGGUCCGCUCUGCAGCACGAACCCACCUCCAGCCGCAGCCGCAGCCGCCGCCCGGGCCGAGGAGCAGCCGCAGCAGCCGCCACCAGUGGCCGAGUGAGCGGAGCCGAGUUUGAGCCAGCGCCUAGCGGUGAAUCGGGGCCCUCACCAUGAGUUCCUCGCCUGUUAAUGUAAAAAAGCUGAAGGUCUCGGAGCUGAAAGAGGAGCUCAAGAAGCGGCGCCUUUCCGACAAGGGCCUCAAGGCCGAGCUCAUGGAGCGACUCCAGGCCGCGCUGGACGACGAGGAGGCCGGGGGCCGCCCCGCCAUGGAGCCCGGGAACGGCAGCCUAGACCUGGGCGGGGAUUCCGCCGGGCGCUCGGGAGCAGGCCUCGAGCAGGAGGCCGCGGCCGGCGGCGACGAGGAAGAGGAAGAGGAGGAAGAGGAGGAGGAAGGGAUCGCCGCCCUGGAUGGCGACCAGAUGGAGCUAGGGGAGGAGAACGGGGCCGCGGGGGCGGCCGACGCGGGCCCGAUGGAGGAGGAGGAGGCCGCCUCGGAAGACGAGAACGGCGACGAUCAGGGCUUCCAGGAAGGGGAGGAUGAGCUCGGUGACGAGGAGGAAGGCGCGGGCGACGAGAACGGGCACGGGGAGCAGCAGCCUCAACCGCCGGCGACGCCGCAGCAACAGCCCCCACAGCAGCGCGGGGCCGCCAAGGAGGCCGCGGGGAAGAGCAGCGGCCCCACCUCGCUGUUCGCGGUGACGGUGGCGCCGCCCGGGGCGAGGCAGGGCCAGCAGCAGGCGGGAGGUAAGAAGAAGGCGGAAGGCGGCGGAGGCGGCGGUCGCCCCGGGGCUCCGGCGGCGGGAGACGGCAAAACAGAGCAGAAAGGCGGAGAUAAAAAGAGAGGGGUGAAAAGACCUCGAGAAGAUCAUGGCCGUGGAUAUUUUGAGUACAUUGAAGAGAACAAGUAUAGCAGAGCCAAAUCUCCUCAGCCACCUGUUGAAGAAGAAGAUGAGCACUUCGAUGACACAGUGGUUUGUCUUGAUACUUAUAAUUGUGAUCUACAUUUUAAAAUAUCAAGAGACCGCCUCAGUGCUUCUUCCCUCACUAUGGAGAGUUUUGCUUUUCUUUGGGCUGGAGGAAGGGCAUCUUAUGGUGUGUCAAAAGGCAAAGUCUGUUUUGAGAUGAAGGUUACAGAGAAGAUCCCAGUAAGGCAUUUAUAUACAAAAGACAUUGACAUACAUGAAGUUCGGAUUGGCUGGUCACUAACCACAAGUGGAAUGUUGCUUGGUGAAGAAGAAUUUUCUUAUGGGUAUUCUCUUAAAGGAAUAAAAACAUGCAACUGUGAGACUGAAGAUUAUGGAGAGAAAUUUGAUGAAAAUGAUGUGAUUACAUGUUUUGCAAACUUUGAAAGUGAUGAAGUAGAACUCUCCUAUGCAAAGAAUGGGCAAGAUCUUGGCAUUGCCUUCAAAAUCAGUAAGGAAAUUCUUGCUGGAAGGCCACUCUUUCCGCAUGUUCUCUGCCACAACUGUGCAGUUGAAUUUAAUUUUGGUCAGAAGGAAAAGCCAUAUUUUCCGAUACCGGAAGAUUAUACUUUUAUCCAGAAUGUCCCCUUAGAGGAUCGAGUUAGAGGACCAAAGGGGCCUGAAGAGAAGAAAGAUUGUGAGGUUGUUAUGAUGAUUGGUUUGCCAGGAGCUGGGAAAACCACCUGGGUUACUAAACACGCAGCAGAGAAUCCUGGUAAAUACAACAUUCUUGGAACAAACACCAUAAUGGAUAAAAUGAUGGUGGCAGGGUUUAAGAAGCAGAUGGCUGAUACUGGAAAACUGAACACGCUGUUGCAGAGAGCUCCCCAGUGUCUUGGAAAGUUUAUUGAGAUUGCUGCCCGUAAGAAGCGAAAUUUCAUUCUGGAUCAGACAAACGUGUCUGCUGCUGCCCAGAGGAGAAAAAUGUGCCUGUUUGCAGGCUUCCAACGAAAAGCUGUUGUAGUUUGCCCGAAAGAUGAAGACUACAAGCAAAGAACACAAAAGAAAGCAGAAGUUGAGGGAAAAGACCUACCAGAACACGCAGUCCUCAAAAUGAAAGGAAACUUCACGCUGCCCGAGGUAGCUGAGUGCUUUGAUGAAAUAACCUAUGUUGAACUGCAGAAGGAGGAAGCCCAAAAACUUCUGGAGCAAUAUAAGGAAGAAAGCAAAAAGGCGCUUCCGCCAGAAAAGAAACAGAAUACUGGCUCGAAGAAGAGCAAUAAAAAUAAGAGUGGCAAGAAUCAGUUCAACAGAGGCGGCGGCCACAGAGGCCGUGGCGGCUUCAACAUGCGCGGUGGCAACUUCCGAGGAGGAGCUCCUGGGAACCGCGGCGGCUAUAACCGGAGGGGCAACAUGCCCCAGAGAGGUGGCGGCGGCGGGGGCAGCGGCGGCAUUGGCUACCCGUACCCUCGCGGCCCUGUGUUCCCCAGCCGAGGCGGCUACUCCAACAGAGGCAACUACAGCAGAGGUGGGAUGCCCAACAGAGGGAACUACAACCAGAACUUCAGAGGACGAGGAAACAAUCGCGGCUACAAAAAUCAAUCUCAGGGCUACAACCAGUGGCAGCAGGGUUCUGUCCAUGUGAAUGUGCUGUGUGGAAGAGUAAAAGGGCCCAACUAAAUGUGUUCCAGUGAUUCCAAUAGGUAUUCCAAAUUAAUUGCUGCUUGUACAUUUAACACUUGUUAUAUUGGGCUUCCAGGAUCACCUUAAUUAGAACUCCCUUAUUUAAAAGGAUGGGAAAAGGCAAUAACUGGUAACCCAGAUUGGGUAGAUUGUAUAAACAGGAAAAAAAAGGUUUUCUAACUUUCCUUUGCAUACCUGAAAUGUGAAGUAGUUGGUGGUGUAAUGUUAAGCAGUUGGCGGUCCUCUUGCCUAGGUUUAAGAUUGUAUGCAAAAGGAGCCGAAUCCUUGUAAGGUUCUAAUGGUUCAAAUUCCUUGUUUUAACUUUUUGUGAGACACUCAUUUUAAUACUUCCCACUUGCAGAGCUUAAAUACUUUAAGUAUUUUAAUGCAGAAAAACGAGUCUAGGAUACCUGUGUCCUUGUUUUUCCCAGCCUUCUGCGUCUGUGCGAAACGCACAAAUACUUACUAGCUUAUAAACACUUGGAAACUAGAUUGAAAGCCUUUUGGAGAAUAAGGAGAUAGGACUCCAUUACCAAAAAGGAAAAAUCAACUAUAGGAAGUAAAUUUAAACUGUAAAGACAGAGGGAAUAAAAGGCUCAGUGUGACCUCUGAUUGUGCCUCCAGAGCAUGUAAUUUCUUAUUGCCCUGAAAUCAUUUAAAGACUUGGUAAGAAGCUUAGAGGAAAUCUGCUAUUCUUCCCACCACAUACUCCAGAAUAAUGUAUCUUGGUGAAAUGAGAGGACCUGGGUGCUAUACUGAUUUGAAAUGUAGCUGUCAGGAUUUGAAUACAGUUCUGUGUCAACUAAAAAUCUAAUGGCUUCUGAAAGAGCAGACAGCUUGGUUUCAGACCAAAGGUAAAAAUCGUAACUAUUUUGUUCAUUUGAGGGAAAAAAAAGUUAAAACUAGAAGAACAUCGUUUCAAAAGUAAACUUUGAAUUCAGAUGGCAAAGCAUAGGUUUCAUUUCCUAUGACUUGUCCUCACAGUCUAAAGGGAAGAAACAUUUCUAUGGAAGCCGAUCCAUUAAGAAACCAGUGUUUGCAGAUUACUUUGAUUUACUAAGGACAGGCCAUCUAAGGUGGUUUAAUAGAUUUUAUUUGUUAACUUGAUCUCAACUUUUAAAAAGGGAACAGUAGAAGCCUGUUUAAAUUCGUACCUGUUUAUAAUGUCUCUGGUAGUUUUGUCAAGAUAGAAAUACUUGGGGCAAUCAUCUGUAUUCUAGAAAACUGAAGAGUAAGGCAAAUGUAGUUGAAAAUUAUUACUUGCAACACAAUCUGUAGUGCUCAUGUUACAAGCUUCAGAAUGUAAUACUUUAAGACCUUUGUAGUAAGUUUUUGUCCCUAAAGCUUCCUAUUUUAAGAGAAAAAGAUGGAGCUUACUGCAUAAAAUGAGCUGUGUAAGAUGCCAGUAUUUGGGUGGUAGAGGAUAUUGGUAUAUUGUCCUGAAUGAAUGACCACUGGACCCUAUUAAGAUGCUUCCAAAAAAUAUUCUAGAGGACUAUUAAAAAUCAGAAUUCUAGCAAUCGCUUUAACUUUUCUACUUAAGAUUUUGUUUACCCAAGUAAAGUACAUAUAUAUAUAUUAACAUGAAUUUUAAAGGGGUGCCUUGACCCCCAUCCACUACAGAUUUUUAUCUAGGAAUAGAAGGAUUCAAACCCUAUUUGAUCCCUAGCUCUUUGCUGAAAAGUGCAUAAACAGGAAUCCUGAAUUUAUUAUAUAGACCUCCUCGCAUUAUAUAAUCGAAGCAAAGGGAAACCAGCGAUGGAGUAGAGGUACGUAGACUAAAAAGAUGCUUGCGAAUCAAAUGAUGGUAUCAGGAAUAGUUAAAGUUUUUUGUUGCCAAACUCGGUCAUUAUAAAUCACAAGUCCAGAGAAAAGCUUUAGUUAAUUUUAAAUUCCCUGAGGUCCUUUUACUGUGAUGGAAAAGCCAAGUAGUCAAGGAAAAAAAGGGAGGGGUGAGGGAAAGGGGAAAUGCAUAGAGUACUAGAAGGAUUUAACAAAGUAUGAUAGAUAAAGCCACAAGAAGUUUUUAAAACUACUAAUGACCACAAUUCUAUUUUAAUCAGCUAUUUAGCUGGUAUCUACUGCUAUAUCACCUAGUGUGAAGUUUUGGAAUUAAUGGAACAAUGAAAGAAGCAGUGCAGCUGGAGGCUCCCAAGUGGGCACGGAAGGUCUCCAAUUUAUGCAGUCAUUCUGCUGUGAAAAUGAACUAACCUUGUUAUUGGUGAAGGCCUUGGAAAUUUUUGCCAGCCGAGAGAGUUUUCUCUUACUCAGGGUAAGAUGUAAUCAUAGUAUGGGAGAGCUAGGCGGGAAUUCAAUUAACUUAAUCCAAUGGCCCAAUUUCAUACUUUGCAUCCAUUUGUAAACUGAAGCUGAGAACCUGAAUGGCCUGCACAGACAGCUUGUUAAAGAUCAGGUUUGAGGAGUACUCCUCAGGUUUCCCCCUACUCUUGCAGAUACGGCAUUGCCUUUUAAAAUACAAAUGACUGGUCAAUUUGAGUAACAUAGACUGGAUUCAACUCUGACUUGUGUCAGAGUGUACACAUGGUAUAUGGUCUUGGAAACUGCCUUUUCCUUUCUAACAACCUUUCCUGAUUAUUGUCCAAGUCCUACCUUUGGUGGCUACUAGAUGAUGAGGAUCCAUAGAAAUGUCUUGGGGCAUGUGCUUGACAGCGACAGCCUGUGCGCCGUGCCCCUUGUAAGGACAGCCACAGGAAAGGCGGGCCUGGGAGGGAAAACGGGACUGAGCAUGCACUCCCCACUUACCCCUUGAAAAGUCAUAAGAGAACACAAUAAAACUUCAGGACAGCUUCACCUUCUCUGGCUGACCAUGAUGAUCAAGUAAUAGGAGCAUUAAUAAUGCCAGAAUCCUGUCUGGUGGUCUUUUUUCAUUAUCAUUUCAAAAUCAGGAACACCUCUCGCUUGUGUUUUGUGGUAUAUUUUUUUCUUAGGAAGUAAUGUUGACAUUAAAACAAAAAAAAAAUUCAUUGCUUUGGAAAGGGAGAGUGUUUUUCCUGAAUGAAUAAAUGCUAUGGGCUUGGUUGGGUGCCUUGUUUUUUUGCCUCUUUUAAUGGCAGCGAAUUGAAUUAUAAAUGACUGACUUAUGUUA